AGGACGAACGCUGGCGGCGUGCUUAACACAUGCAAGUCGAGCGAGGCCCCCGCCUUCGGGUGGGGUGCCCUAGCGGCGAACGGGUGAGUAACACGUGGGCAACCUGCCCCUAGCACUGGGAUAAGCCCGGGAAACCGGGUCUAAUACCGGAUAUGACAUCGGAGGGCAUCCUCCGAUGUGUAAAGGAUUCUGGCUAGGGAUGGGCCCGCGGCCUAUCAGCUUGUUGGUGGGGUAACGGCCUACCAAGGCGACGACGGGUA
RNAcentral lists this ribosomal RNA (260 nucleotides) under uncultured bacterium. Its description in RNAcentral is "partial small subunit ribosomal RNA". It matches the Rfam family "Bacterial small subunit ribosomal RNA", at positions 26 to 285 of the family's 1533-position model. The record is from RNAcentral.